CGGGACACGUGGUAUCCUGUCUGAAUAUGGGGGGACCAUCCUCCAAGGCUAAAUACUCCUGACUGACCGAUAGUGAACCAGUACCGUGAGGGAAAGGCGAAAAGAACCCCGGCGAGGGGAGUGAAAAAGAACCUGAAACCGUGUACGUACAAGCAGUGGGAGCACAGGUUUACCUGUGUGACUGCGUACCUUUUGUAUAAUGGGUCAGCGACUUAUAUUCUGUAGCAAGGUUAACCGAAUAGGGGAGCCGGAGGGAAACCGAGUCUUAAUUGGGCGUUAAGUUGCAGGGUAUAGACCCGAAACCCGGUGAUCUAGCCAUGGGCAGGUUGAAGGUUGGGUAACACUAACUGGAGGACCGAACCGACUAAUGUUGAAAAAUUAGCGGAUGACCUGUGGCUGGGGGUGAAAGGCCAAUCAAACCGGGAGAUAGCUGGUUCUCCCCGAAAGCUAUUUAGGUAGCGCCUCGUGAAUUCAUCUCCGGGGGUAGAGCACUGUUUCGGCUAGGGGGCCAUCCCGGCUUACCAACCCGAUGCAAACUGCGAAUACCGGAGAAUGUUAUCACGGGAGACACACGGCGGGUGCUAACGUCCGUCGUGAAGAGGGAAACAACCCAGACCGCCAGCUAAGGUCCCAAAGUCAUGGUUAAGUGGGAAACGAUGUGGGAAGGCCCAGACAGCCAGGAUGUUGGCUUAGAAGCAGCCAUCAUUUAAAGAAAGCGUAAUAGCUCACUGGUCGAGUCGGCCUGCGCGGAAGAUGUAACGGGGCUAAACCAU
Molecule: ribosomal RNA, 773 nt
Filed under: Salmonella enterica
Lineage: Bacteria; Pseudomonadati; Pseudomonadota; Gammaproteobacteria; Enterobacterales; Enterobacteriaceae
Also listed under: 2 other names
Description: partial 23S ribosomal RNA
Rfam family: Bacterial large subunit ribosomal RNA
Source: RNAcentral